Molecule: ribosomal RNA, 604 nt
Filed under: uncultured Actinomycetes bacterium
Lineage: Bacteria; Bacillati; Actinomycetota; Actinomycetes
Description: bacterial SSU rRNA
Rfam family: Bacterial small subunit ribosomal RNA
Source: RNAcentral
GUUGGUGGGGUGAUGGCCUACCAAGGCGACGACGGGUAGCCGGCCUGAGAGGGCGACCGGCCACACUGGGACUGAGACACGGCCCAGACUCCUACGGGAGGCAGCAGUGGGGAAUAUUGCACAAUGGGCGAAAGCCUGAUGCAGCAACGCCGCGUGCGGGAAGAAGGCCCUCGGGUUGUAAACCGCUUUCAGAAGGAACGAAACUGACGGUACUUUCAGAAGAAGGUGCGGCCAACUACGUGCCAGCAGCCGCGGUGACACGUAGGCACCAAGCGUUGUCCGGAUUUAUUGGGCGUAAAGAGCUCGUAGGCGGUUCAGUAAGUCGGGUGUGAAAACUUUGGGCUUAACCCAAAGCGUGCACCCGAUACUGCUGUGACUUGAGUUCGGUAGGGGAGCGGGGAAUUCCUAGUGUAGCGGUGAAAUGCGCAGAUAUCAGGAGGAACACCGAUGGCGAAGGCAGGUCUCUGGGCAUUAACUGACGCUGAGGAGCGAAAGCAUGGGGAGCGAACAGGAUUAGAUACCCUGGUAGUCCAUGCCGUAAACGUUGGGCACUAGGUGUGGGGGACAUUCCACGUUUUCCGCGCCGUAGCUAACGCAUUAAGUG